ACGUUGUUUGCUGAGUUGGUAGAGCUCUCCACUGGAUAUUGAGAGGUCCCUGGUUCGAUAGCAGGACGAGGUG
Molecule: transfer RNA, 73 nt
Filed under: Ixodes scapularis (black-legged tick)
Lineage: Eukaryota; Metazoa; Arthropoda; Arachnida; Ixodida; Ixodidae
Description: tRNA-Ser for anticodon GGA
Source: RNAcentral